CUUGUGAGUAAAGUGGCGUACGGGUGAGUAACACGUGGAUUAUCUACCUUCUAGUGGGGGAUAACCCUGGGAAACCGGGGCUAAUACCGCAUAAGCUCGAGAGAGGAAAGCAGCAAUGCGCUGGAAGAGGAGUCCGCGGCCGAUUAGCUAGUUGGUAGGGUAAAAGCCUACCAAGGCUACGAUCGGUAGCCGGCCUGAGAGGGCACACGGCCACACUGGCACUGAAACACGGGCCAG
RNAcentral lists this ribosomal RNA (237 nucleotides) under uncultured bacterium. Its description in RNAcentral is "partial 16S ribosomal RNA". It matches the Rfam family "Bacterial small subunit ribosomal RNA", at positions 83 to 334 of the family's 1533-position model. The record is from RNAcentral.